CCUACGGGUGGCAGCAGUGGGGAAUAUUGGGCAAUGGGCGAAAGCCUGACCCAGCAACGCCGCGUGAAGGAAGAAGGCUUUCGGGUUGUAAACCUCUUUUGACAGGGAAGAGCAGAAGACGGUACAUGCCGAAUAAGCCACAGCUAACUACGUGCCAGCAGCCACGGUAAUACGGAGGUGGCAAGCGUUGUUCGGAUUUACUGGGUGUAAAGGGCGACUAGCCGGGCUGACAAGUCAGAGGUGAAAUCCGGGGGCUCAACCCCCGAACUGCGUUUGAAACUGUUGGUCUUGAGUAUCGGAGAGGCAGGCGGAAUUCCUGGUGUAGCGGUGAAAUGCGUAGAUAUUAGGAGGAACACCAGUGGCGAAGGCGGCCUGCUGGACGACAACUGACGGUGAGGCGCGAAGGCGUGGGGAGCAAACAGGAUUAGAUACCCUUGUAGUC
RNAcentral lists this ribosomal RNA (442 nucleotides) under uncultured bacterium. Its description in RNAcentral is "partial 16S ribosomal RNA". It matches the Rfam family "Bacterial small subunit ribosomal RNA", at positions 338 to 795 of the family's 1533-position model. The record is from RNAcentral.